Molecule: ribosomal RNA, 253 nt
Filed under: uncultured bacterium
Lineage: Bacteria
Description: partial 16S ribosomal RNA
Rfam family: Bacterial small subunit ribosomal RNA
Source: RNAcentral
UACGUAGGGGGCAAGCGUUGUCCGGAUUUAUUGGGCGUAAAGCGCUCGCAGGUGGUUUGUCGCGUCGUGCGUGAAAGACCCCGGCUCAACUGGGGAGGGUCGUGCGAUACGGGCGAACUGGAGGCCAGUAGGGGGAUGCGGAAUUCCGGGUGUAGUGGUGGAAUGCGUAGAGAUCCGGAGGAACACCGACGGCGUAGGCAGCGCCCUGGCCGUUUCCUGACGCUGAGGCACGAAAGCUGGGGGAGCAAACAGG